CUGGCUCAGGAUGAACGCUGGCGGCGUGCCUAACACAUGCAAGUCGAACGAAGCAUAUUUAACGGAGAUUCGUCGAAGCUGGAUAUGACUUAGUGGCGGACGGGUGAGUAAUGUAUGAGCAACCUGCCUUUCAGAGGGGGACAACAGUUGGAAACGACUGCUAAUACCGCAUAACGUAUUUGGGUGGCAUCACCUGGAUACCAAAGGAGCAAUCCGCUGAAAGAUGGGCUCAUAUCUGAUUAGCUUGUUGGCGGGGUAACGGCCCACCAAGGCGACGAUCAGUAGCCGGACUGAGAGGUUGAACGGCCACAUUGGGACUGAGAUACGGCCCAGACUCCUACGGGAGGCAGCAGUGGGGAAUAUUGGGCAAUGGGCGAAAGCCCUGACCCAGCAACGCCGCGUGAAGGAAGAAGGUCUUCGGAUUGUAAACUUCUUUUAUGAGGGACGAAGGACGUGACGGUACCUCAUGAAUAAGCCACGGCUAACUACGUGCCAGCCGCGGC
RNAcentral lists this ribosomal RNA (503 nucleotides) under uncultured bacterium. RNAcentral describes it as "bacterial SSU rRNA". It matches the Rfam family "Bacterial small subunit ribosomal RNA", at positions 19 to 518 of the family's 1533-position model. The record is from RNAcentral.